RNAcentral lists this ribosomal RNA (424 nucleotides) under uncultured bacterium. RNAcentral describes it as "partial 16S ribosomal RNA". It matches the Rfam family "Bacterial small subunit ribosomal RNA", at positions 359 to 774 of the family's 1533-position model. The record is from RNAcentral.
GCAUAUUUGACAAUGGGGGGAACCCUGAUCCAGCCAUGCCGCGUGUGUGAAGCAGGCCUUUUGGUUGUAAAGCACUCUAAGCGUGGAGGAGGCUACUCUCGUUAAUACCUAGCGAUAGUGGACGUUACGCGCGGAAUAAGCACCGGCUAACUCUGUGCCAGCCGCCGCGGUAAUACCGAGGGUGCAAGCGUUAAUCGGAUUUACGUGGCGUAAAGCGCGCGUAGGUGACCAAUUAAGUCAAAUGUGAAAUCCCCGAGCUUAACUUGGGAAUUGCAUUCGAUACUGGUUGGCUAGAGUAUGGGAGAGGAUGGUAGAAUUCCAGGUGUAGCGGUGAAAUGCGUAGAGAUCUGGAGGAAUACCGAUGGCGAAGGCAGCCAUCUGGCCUAAUACUGACACUGAGGUGCGAAAGCAUGGGGAGCAAACA